UUUAGCGGCCGUCUCUGGACCCCCCAGGGUUGUUAGUGAAUUAGGCGUGCGGCGGAGCGAGGGGUUCGUCAGAAAGGCGCAUUGAGUCCUAAAAAAGGUCCACGCGUGCCCUGUCGGGCUUCAUCAAGGAGCUGGGGCCACGGGCGUAAUCCUGCUCCUUCAAACCACAGUAGGGUGGCAAGCAUAGAGGACAGUCUGGUUUCCUGCUACUCUGAUCCAGAACAUUUCCACACAGCAGUAGAAUUAGCAGCUAUCAAUGUCACAGUCAGCUCUUGAUCAUCACAAGGCUUGGGCUCCCAAGAUGGAGCAAAAAAAGCAUAUCUGUUCAUUUAUAGGAGAGAGGUAGUUAUCAGCUGCAGAAAGACAUUUAAAACCUGUGGCUGAACACUUCAUCCUCCCUGGAUGCUCCAUUGCUGACCUCAGGAUUGCUGUUCUCAGGCAAAAAAAAAAAAAAAAAAAAAAAAGAAGCAGCAGGAAAAAGCAGAAAAAUCUAUUGCUCUCAGUAUGUUUGAACAGACAAUGGGAAAAGAUUUUACCAUUAAGAUAAAGUUAGUAUUUGGAACUAACCAUCUAUUUCAAAUUUAUUGCCUAGCAUAAAUGUAUUUGACCUAUUGGUCUCUUGUCUUUAGAAUUUAAAUUUAGUAUAAGGAAAACGCUUGUGUAAAGGGUUUGUGGUAUGUCUGGUGUGUGUGUGAAUAUGUCUGGUUUAUGUGGAAAGAGGUAAUGAAAGACUAAAUGAUGGACAUGUGUGCCAGCAACACAGAGACAGGCCUCUUGCAGCAGGUGAAAAUAGCAUUUGUGGCAUGACGGUUAAGAGCUGUAACAAAAUAGUCAGUAGUAAAGGAUUACCAAACACUAAAUCACGCUCCAUCCUGAUGGCUGAAGACUGCAAGCAAUGGACCCUGAAGAUUGCAGACCACAAAGCCAGAAGAUCACGACCUACCAAUCCCAGCCUGCCAACAGGACAAGAAGGACGGUCUUCGAAUCUGACUCCACAAAAUCCAUAGGCUCUAUGGACAGCUAUUACUAUGAAAAACGAACACAAAGACAAGGCUUUGGGUCUCUUCCACCUGCAAGAAGGCAUUUUGGGCGCGUCCAACAAGACCCAACUCCAACUCUCUCGGUCAGCCUGGCUGGCCACCAGACUGACCGUGAGCAACUUUGAAACUUGGUAACACCUUAACCU
Molecule: long non-coding RNA, 1186 nt
Organism: Alligator sinensis (Chinese alligator)
Lineage: Eukaryota; Metazoa; Chordata; Crocodylia; Alligatoridae
Exons: 3
Source: RefSeq, a predicted model, not a curated record